Prosopis cineraria is the source of this 358-nucleotide long non-coding RNA. RefSeq lists it as uncharacterized. The record is from RefSeq and is a predicted model, not a curated record. Lineage: Eukaryota; Viridiplantae; Streptophyta; Magnoliopsida; Fabales; Fabaceae. The transcript is spliced from 2 exons.
GCUGAGGCAGAGAGAGAGCAUCUGUGAGCCAAAUUCACCGGUGCUGGGUUUUAAGGAGAAGAGCCACGAGUGACACGUGGAGGAGUCCCAGAGGCUUAGUGGUAUAGAUCCACUGUCUCUUUUGGGUAUUUAAUUUAUGAUUUAUAAUGUGUUAUAUUGCCAAUAUUAGGGCUUUUUUGUUUAUUGUCAAUUAUAUGAAUAUAUAAAUGUAAUCAUGCCUUUCAAACUAUUUCUAUUUUUGGUACAAUUUGGAUGACUGUAAUUUUAAUAUUUGGUUUACUUUGGAUUGGUUAAAAUGGCAUGAUUAUAAGGCCAAAUAACUGGCUUGUGUUGAAAAUUGACUAAAUUGCUUAUUUUA